AGUGAAGCUGCAUCAGGGGUAUCCCCAGCAGCUACUCAAGCACAUGGGAGACUCAGGCCUUGAGAACAGUUGGUGUGAGCAGCCCCAGACGACUUCACCAUCAUAUUUCUAGGUUUGGUGUACUGUUGUGAGCACAAGUUAGGUAGAGCACGUGUGGGAGUCACCCUCCCAGGAUACACUAAGGAUGCAGUGUAUACAUUACCUAUAUUGUUCACUAGAAAAAAUGGAAGUUCAUGAAAAUAACUGCUCUGCAAGUUUAAUCUGAAGACUCUCUAAACCUUGAAGUCCAUGAGGUUGGUGGAAGGCUUACACAGUCUUCAGGAGGAGUUGUAUUCUUUUAUAGCCCAGUCUUAUGAAAACUGUCAUUGAACAUAAAAUCAUAAACAAAGGUGUCUUGCUCCCUCUGGAUCUUGAGAUGGUAUUUCACAGGGAGCAGGGGAUUUUUUCCAACUGAUAUAACUGUGCUGAGGUCAAUCGGAUUUUUUUGCAGCAAUGGUUAGAACAAGUUUAUCAUGGGGUGUAAUGCAAUAUGUUUUUAUGAGUACUCUUAUCUCAGAAACGCUUCCAGCUGACAUAGUGGUAGCUAAAGGACAUACUCUAAAAGAAAAGGAAACAGGGAAUAUUUCUUCUAAAAGGACAGGACUUAAAACUUGUGCCACUUAAUUUAACUGCAUAUGGGAAACCUGUGAAUCUUUGAGGAACAAAGUUACGUUGAUAAACCUUGGUAGAGAAGGAUAAGGGAAAAGAUCAAGAAAGGUUUAAAAACAUAUAUGCUUUCCUAGGCAGAGAUCUGAAUGUGGAGGUUGAUGAAAGCAAAACUGACACAUCUGUGAGAAGCACUAGCCAUAUACUUGUCAAAGAAGCAUCCUGCUAUAUAAACCACAGUGUUCUUGGAACCUGUAAUAGGCUGUAAGAAUAAAUUUAAGUUAAUUUCAGUUGUUCCUUCAAAAGAAAGGACAGAAUAUCAUUUUAUAUUUGUUAAAAAUUGAUACAGACUAUGAAGGAGAAUGGGUAUUUCAGAGAAAUUCCAAUGGGAUGCCAUUACCUCUCACUGCUAAUAUAUCAGUCCAAAGCCAGGAAUGGCUGAUAGCAACUGGAAAUGAUGCUGUUGUGUCCAUGCAUAACAUUUGCUAGCUUUGUUGCAAAACAAAAAAUACAAAUCAAAAGCACUUGUCAAAGACAUGAACUACACACGUUGAAGACAAGGAAAACACAUCUCCAAGUAUCUCUCAAGUUCACUGCCUUUCCUCCUAAUCCUCAAAACGUGCCACUGGAAUAAGGGCCAGGCAGAGAAAGGAAGAAUCAAUAGGAGAUAAGGAAAGCUAAUUCAAAAAUUCAUCUCUCAUCCUCAGUGAGAAUAGCAAGUUAUCAGUUCUUGCAGGGGAGACGGGCAUCACGUAGACUCAAACCACUGAGUGGUAUAAAUCAAAACUGACUACUUUAAAUGUCAUCCACAUACCAACUGGCAGAGAGUGAGAAAUACUAAGCCCAGUUGCAAUGUCUUCUCUGCCUGAAAUGUGUGGCUUAAGAAACUGGUGCACUUAAAAUAUAGUGUGUAGAUAAAUAUGGUAAAGACUACCUCAGAACUAUCUUCUUUCCAAGUGAAAAUGACUGAAAGUACAUGCGACAGCUAUGGUUACCCAUACAUUUGGAGGUAGCUGGGACCCCAAAGAAACCCAGGUUGUGAAGCUUAACAGAUGGAUCCUACUACCCAGAAG
Molecule: long non-coding RNA, 1718 nt
Organism: Gavialis gangeticus (Gharial)
Lineage: Eukaryota; Metazoa; Chordata; Crocodylia; Gavialidae
Exons: 2
Source: RefSeq, a predicted model, not a curated record